CCUACGGGGGGCAGCAGUGGGGAAUAUUGCACAAUGGGCGCAAGCCUGAUGCAGCCAUGCCGCGUGUGUGAAGAAGGCCUUCGGGUUGUAAAGCACUUUCAGCGGGGAGGAAGGCGGUGAGGUUAAUAACCUCAUCGAUUGACGUUACCCGCAGAAGAAGCACCGGCUAACUCCGUGCCAGCAGCCGCGGUAAUACGGAGGGUGCAAGCGUUAAUCGGAAUUACUGGGCGUAAAGCGCACGCAGGCGGUCUGUCAAGUCGGAUGUGAAAUCCCCGGGCUCAACCUGGGAACUGCAUUCGAAACUGGCAGGCUAGAGUCUUGUAGAGGGGGGUAGAAUUCCAGGUGUAGCGGUGAAAUGCGUAGAGAUCUGGAGGAAUACCGGUGGCGAAGGCGGCCCCCUGGACAAAGACUGACGCUCAGGUGCGAAUGCGUGGGGAGCAAACAGGAUUAGAUACCCGUGUAGUC
Molecule: ribosomal RNA, 465 nt
Filed under: uncultured Klebsiella sp.
Lineage: Bacteria; Pseudomonadati; Pseudomonadota; Gammaproteobacteria; Enterobacterales; Enterobacteriaceae
Description: bacterial SSU rRNA
Rfam family: Bacterial small subunit ribosomal RNA
Source: RNAcentral